UGACCAUCAGUGACCAGAGUGACCAUCAGUGACCAUCAGUGACCAUCACUGACCAUCACUGACCACCACUGACCAUCACUGACCAUCACUGACCAGAGUGACCAUCACUGACCAUCACUGACCAUCACUGACCAUCACUGACCAUCAGUGACCAUCACUGACCAUCACUGACCAUCACUGACCAUCAGUGACCAUCACUGACCAUCACUGACCAUCACUGACCAUCAGUGACCAUCAGUGACCAGAGUGACCAUUACUGACCAUCAGUGACCAUCAGUGACCAUCACUGACCAUCACUGACCAUCACUGACCACCACUGACCAUCACUGACCAUCACUGACCAUCAGUGACCAUCAGUGACCAGAGUGACCACUGACCAUCACUGGCCAUUACUCUGGGCUGUACUGGGAGCACUGGGAUCCCUCAGAUCCCAGACUGGAGCGUCCCAGGUGUGUCCAGGUGUGUCCCCAGGUGUGUCCAGGUGUGUCCCAGGUGUGUCCCCAUGUCCCCCCAGGUGUCCCCAGCUGUCCCCAGGUGUUCCCAGGUGUGUCCAGGUGUGUCCCAGGUGUCCCCAGGUGUAUCUCAGGUGUGUCCCAGGUGUCCCCAGGUGUGUCCCAGGUGUAUCUCAGGUGUAUCCAGGUGUGUCCCCAUGUCCCCCCAUGUCCCCCAGGUGUGUCCCAUGUCCCCCCAGGUGUCUCAGGUGUCCCCAGGUGUGUCACAGACCUGCAGCAGCAGGUGACAGAUCUCCAGGUGUCCUUUCUGCGCGGCCGCGUGCAGCGCCGAGCGCUUG
RNAcentral lists this long non-coding RNA (790 nucleotides) under Parus major (Great Tit). RNAcentral's name for it is "lncRNA (ENSPMJG00000002320.1)". Lineage: Eukaryota; Metazoa; Chordata; Aves; Passeriformes; Paridae. The record is from RNAcentral.